Molecule: ribosomal RNA, 440 nt
Filed under: uncultured bacterium
Lineage: Bacteria
Description: partial 16S ribosomal RNA
Rfam family: Bacterial small subunit ribosomal RNA
Source: RNAcentral
CCUACGGGUGGCAGCAGUAGGGAAUAUUGCUCAAUGGGGGAAACCCUGAAGCAGCAACGCCGCGUGGAGGAUGAAGGUUUUAGGAUUGUAAACCCCCUUUGUGAGAGAAGAUACUGACGGUAUCUCACGAAUAAGCACCGGCUAACUGCGUGCCAGCAGCCGCGGUAAUACGGCGGGUGCAAGCGUUACUCGGAAUCAAUGGGCGUAAAGCGGGCGUAGGUGGGUUUGUAAGUUAGAUGUGAAAACCUGUAGCUUAACUACAGAACUGCAUUUGAAACUAGGGGUCUAGAGUGUGAGAGAGGUAGGUGGAAUGCUUGGUGUAGGGGUAAAAUGCAUAGAUAUCAAGAAGAAUACUCAUUGCGAAGGCAGCCUACUGUAACAUUACUGACGCUCAUGCACGAAAGCGUGGGGAGCAAACAGGAUUAGAUACCCUAGUAGUC